Molecule: ribosomal RNA, 468 nt
Filed under: uncultured bacterium
Lineage: Bacteria
Description: partial 16S ribosomal RNA
Rfam family: Bacterial small subunit ribosomal RNA
Source: RNAcentral
GACGAACGCUGGCGGCGUGCUUAACACAUGCAAGUCGAACGGAAAGGCCCUGCUUUUGUGGGGUGCUCGAGUGGCGAACGGGUGAGUAACACGUGAGUAACCUGCCCUUGACUUUGGGAUAACUUCGGGAAACUGGGGCUAAUACCGGAUAGGAGCUCCUGCUGCAUGGUGGGGGUUGGAAAGUUUCGGCGGUUGGGGAUGGACUCGCGGCUUAUCAGCUUGUUGGUGGGGUAGUGGCUUACCAAGGCUUUGACGGGUAGCCGGCCUGAGAGGGUGACCGGCCACAUUGGGACUGAGAUACGGCCCAGACUCCUACGGGAGGCAGCAGUGGGGAAUAUUGCACAAUGGGCGGAAGCCUGAUGCAGCAACGCCGCGUGCGGGAUGACGGCCUUCGGGUUGUAAACCGCUUUCGCCUGUGACGAAGCGUGAGUGACGGUAGUGGGUAAAGAAGCACCGGCUAACUACGUG